AAGCUCACUAGUCCCACUCAUUUGAGACAUAGUGACUCACUCACUAAUUCCUCACCAUGGGAAUUAGCUACCACCCCAAAUGGGCCAUGCUAUGCACGCUAAUCAUCUAGCAUGCAAACAUCAACAACAACAAUCAAAAUGAUUUACUCACUAAUUCCUCACCAUGGGAAUUAGCUACCACCAUAAGGCCACAAUAUGCAUGCAAAUCACCUAGCAAUGCAACGUCAACAACAAUUUAAGAAUAGACACAUGCUCACACUCUAAGCCAUAAAAUAGUCUAUUCACAAAUGCAUACAUUCACAUCAUCAUGUAUACCAUCACAUAUCAUCAACAAAAGCAUAUCAUAUCAUGCCACAUAAUCAAUCAUAGUAUUAGCACA
This 379-nucleotide long non-coding RNA is filed under the name Lathyrus oleraceus (garden pea). Its description in RNAcentral is "Pisum sativum (pea) long non-coding RNA (PSAT_LNC028923)". The record is from RNAcentral. Lineage: Eukaryota; Viridiplantae; Streptophyta; Magnoliopsida; Fabales; Fabaceae.